CCCGAACCUGGGUGAUCUAUCCAUGACUAGGAUGAAGCUUGGGAGAAACUAAGUGGAGGUCCGAACCGACUGAUGUUGAAGAAUCAGCAGAUGAGUUGUGGUUGGAAGUGAAAUGCCACUCGAACUCAGAGCUAGUUGG
RNAcentral lists this non-coding RNA (139 nucleotides) under Gossypium raimondii (Peruvian cotton). Its description in RNAcentral is "Bacterial large subunit ribosomal RNA". It matches the Rfam family "Bacterial large subunit ribosomal RNA", at positions 714 to 852 of the family's 2925-position model. The record is from Rfam by way of RNAcentral. Lineage: Eukaryota; Viridiplantae; Streptophyta; Magnoliopsida; Malvales; Malvaceae.